Molecule: ribosomal RNA, 1404 nt
Filed under: Bacillus pichinotyi
Lineage: Bacteria; Bacillati; Bacillota; Bacilli; Caryophanales; Bacillaceae
Description: bacterial SSU rRNA
Rfam family: Bacterial small subunit ribosomal RNA
Source: RNAcentral
GCUCAGGACGAACGCUGGCGGCGUGCCUAAUACAUGCAAGUCGAGCGAAUUUGAGGGAGCUUGCUCCCAAAGAUUAGCGGCGGACGGGUGAGUAACACGUGGGCAACCUGCCUGUAAGACUGGGAUAACUUCGGGAAACCGGAGCUAAUACCGGAUAAUCCUUUUCCUCUCAUGAGGAAAAGCUGAAAGAUGGCUUCGGCUAUCACUUACAGAUGGGCCCGCGGCGCAUUAGCUAGUUGGUGAGGUAACGGCUCACCAAGGCGACGAUGCGUAGCCGACCUGAGAGGGUGAUCGGCCACACUGGGACUGAGACACGGCCCAGACUCCUACGGGAGGCAGCAGUAGGGAAUCUUCCGCAAUGGACGAAAGUCUGACGGAGCAACGCCGCGUGAGUGAUGAAGGUUUUCGGAUCGUAAAACUCUGUUGUUAGGGAAGAACAAGUACCGUUCGAAUAGGGCGGUACCUUGACGGUACCUAACCAGAAAGCCACGGCUAACUACGUGCCAGCAGCCGCGGUAAUACGUAGGUGGCAAGCGUUGUCCGGAAUUAUUGGGCGUAAAGCGCGCGCAGGCGGUCUUUUAAGUCUGAUGUGAAAGCCCCCGGCUCAACCGGGGAGGGUCAUUGGAAACUGGGAGACUUGAGUGCAGAAGAGGAGAGUGGAAUUCCACGUGUAGCGGUGAAAUGCGUAGAGAUGUGGAGGAACACCAGUGGCGAAGGCGACUCUCUGGUCUGUAACUGACGCUGAGGCGCGAAAGCGUGGGGAGCGAACAGGAUUAGAUACCCUGGUAGUCCACGCCGUAAACGAUGAGUGCUAAGUGUUAGAGGGUUUCCGCCCUUUAGUGCUGCAGCAAACGCAUUAAGCACUCCGCCUGGGGAGUACGGCCGCAAGGCUGAAACUCAAAGGAAUUGACGGGGGCCCGCACAAGCGGUGGAGCAUGUGGUUUAAUUCGAAGCAACGCGAAGAACCUUACCAGGUCUUGACAUCCUCUGACAAUCCUAGAGAUAGGACUUUCCCCUUCGGGGGACAGAGUGACAGGUGGUGCAUGGUUGUCGUCAGCUCGUGUCGUGAGAUGUUGGGUUAAGUCCCGCAACGAGCGCAACCCUUGAUCUUAGUUGCCAGCAUUCAGUUGGGCACUCUAAGGUGACUGCCGGUGACAAACCGGAGGAAGGUGGGGAUGACGUCAAAUCAUCAUGCCCCUUAUGACCUGGGCUACACACGUGCUACAAUGGAUGGUACAAAGGGCUGCAAGACCGCGAGGUUUAGCCAAUCCCAUAAAACCAUUCUCAGUUCGGAUUGCAGGCUGCAACUCGCCUGCAUGAAGCCGGAAUCGCUAGUAAUCGCGGAUCACAUGCCCGGGGGGAAAUACGUUCCCGGGCCUUGUACACACCGCCCGUCACACCACG